This 492-nucleotide ribosomal RNA is filed under the name uncultured bacterium. RNAcentral's name for it is "partial 16S ribosomal RNA". It matches the Rfam family "Bacterial small subunit ribosomal RNA", at positions 29 to 507 of the family's 1533-position model. The record is from RNAcentral.
AGUGAACGCUGGCGGUAGGCCUAACACAUGCAAGUCGAACGGCAGCACAGUAAGAGCUUGCUCUUACGGGUGGCGAGUGGCGGACGGGUGAGGAAUACAUCGGAAUAUACUUUUUCGCGGGGGAUAACGUAGGGAAACUUACGCUAAUACCGCAUACGACCUACGGGUGAAAGCAGGGGAUCUUCGGACCUUGCGCGAAUGAAUGAGCCGAUGUCGGAUUAGCUAGUUGGCGGGGUAAAGGCCCACCAAGGCGACGAUCCGUAGCUGGUCUGAGAGGAUGAUCAGCCACACUGGAACUGAGACACGGUCCAGACUCCUACGGGAGGCAGCAGUGGGGAAUAUUGGACAAGGGGGGCAAGCCUGAUCCAGCCAUACCGCGUGGGUGAAGAAGGCCUUCGGGUUGUAAAGCCCUUUUGUUGGGAAAGAAAAGCAGCAGGUUAAUACCCCGCUGUUCUGACGGUACCCAAAGAAUAAGCACCGGCUAACUUCGUG